GUCUGUCAUCCCAACUGUCAAAAAAAGCAACAUGGCACAAACGGUGACUCCCCCGUACCAUUGUGUUUACCGGAUACGGUCACCGCCACCCUUCCCCCUUACACCCUUGUGAACAAUUUUUUAUUUUCUGUAAGCUUACUUUAUUUGUUUUAAUGUAAGAUGUAAACUUAUCAUCUAAAGUUGUUUGAUUAUUAAUAACAAAAAUAUUAACGGGCCAACCCGACCCGCGUAUUUUCGGUUCAUCUUGUAUCUUCAAAGAUGCAUUCUUCUACUCCCCUACCAAAACUUUGCAGAAUUCAAGGAUAAAAUUGAUAGUAAAUCCAGAUCUAGAACAACGUUACGAAUUCAACAAUGAAACUGAAAAAUCAGAUCUAAAGCUCUCAAUCUGGCUACAUGAGGAUCGUAAUCAAACCGAGCCCUAGCCGAUUCGAUUUGGCAAUCUAACGACGCCGACGAUAACGACCGUUUCAACCGCUUGUUAUUGCGCUGCUGAAUCGAGAUAUCUUUCAAUCGCUCUUCCAUCGUUUCGAUCUUCGAAUCCUCCUCAUCGGCAAUUCGCAUCGGUUCAUCAUCAUCGAUAUUAUCCGCUUGUAGUUGUUGUUGUGGUGGUGGUGAUUGUGUGGUGUGAGCGAGGAAGAGAGAGAGGUGGCGGUGAGCGGCGUGGAGGGAGGCGUAAAUAGUUGCAGAGUCGGUGGUUGAUGGAAGCUGCUUUGCCAUGACGGUUGCGUGCUCUAAAACUGUCACAAGGAAUUGGCAUGGAAUGCUAUAAAUGGAUACCUGAGCUCGAGCUUCACUCGGUUCGAAACCUCUUUGUAAACAAAGAGUUUGGCUCGUGAGUGAUUUUUUUAGUUCUGGCUCAAGUUUGGCUUUGUUAUUAUUUAUUAAUAUUAAUUAAUUUAAAUCUAAAUACACUUA
Molecule: long non-coding RNA, 915 nt
Filed under: Helianthus annuus (common sunflower)
Lineage: Eukaryota; Viridiplantae; Streptophyta; Magnoliopsida; Asterales; Asteraceae
Description: hypothetical non coding rna
Source: RNAcentral